Molecule: non-coding RNA, 208 nt
Filed under: uncultured Stomatobaculum sp.
Lineage: Bacteria; Bacillati; Bacillota; Clostridia; Lachnospirales; Lachnospiraceae
Source: RNAcentral
UUGUUCUUCCGGUGCCUCUGCUGCGGCAGAGGGUAAAAGAGAAACAGGUGCGAAUCCUGUACGAACCCGUCACUGUAUUUGGGGAGCGGAGCACAACGUGCACCGCACAGUCACUGGACCGGAAUAUCCGCGCGGCAGCGCAGGGUGUUCUGUCCGGGAAGGCUGUGCUCCGCAUUGAUCCAUAAGCCAGGAAACCUGCCGGAAGAGA